RNAcentral lists this ribosomal RNA (253 nucleotides) under uncultured bacterium. RNAcentral's name for it is "partial 16S ribosomal RNA". It matches the Rfam family "Bacterial small subunit ribosomal RNA", at positions 524 to 776 of the family's 1533-position model. The record is from RNAcentral.
UACGAAGGGGGCUAGCGUUGUUCGGAAUCACUGGGCGUAAAGGGCGCGUAGGCGGCUUGAUAAGUCGGGGGUGAAAGCCUGUGGCUCAACCACAGAAUUGCCUUCGAUACUGUCUGGCUCGAGACCGGAAGAGGUAAGUGGAACUGCGAGUGUAGAGGUGAAAUUCGUAGAUAUUCGCAAGAACACCAGUGGCGAAGGCGGCCUGCUGGGCCGAUCCUGACGCUGAGGCGCGAAGGCGUGGGGAGCGAACGGG